GCUAGCUUUGGCAGCACAAACUUAAAUUAGAAUGAUACAGAGAAGAUUAGCAUGGCUCCUGAGCAAGGAUGACAUGCAAAUUCAUGAAGUGUUCCAUAUUAAA
Small nuclear RNA from Callorhinus ursinus (northern fur seal), 103 nucleotides. NCBI's taxonomy places the organism in Eukaryota, Metazoa, Chordata, Mammalia, Carnivora, Otariidae. The record is from RefSeq and is a predicted model, not a curated record.